This 253-nucleotide ribosomal RNA is filed under the name uncultured bacterium. RNAcentral describes it as "partial 16S ribosomal RNA". It matches the Rfam family "Bacterial small subunit ribosomal RNA", at positions 524 to 776 of the family's 1533-position model. The record is from RNAcentral.
UACAGAGGGGGCAAGCGUUGUUCGGAAUUACUGGGCGUAAAGCGUGCGCAGGCGGUGAUGUAAGACAGGUGUGAAAUCCCCGGGCUUAACCUGGGAACUGCAUUUGUGACUGCAUCGCUGGAGUGCGGCAGAGGGGGAUGGAAUUCCGCGUGUAGCAGUGAAAUGCGUAGAUAUGCGGAGGAACACCGAUGGCGAAGGCAAUCCCCUGGACCUGUACUGACGCUCAUGCACGAAAGCGUGGGGAGCAAACAGG